GAUUUCAUCUUUCAAGUCUUUAUAGUCCAGUAGGCUGGUAUAGCUGGACUCAAGCAGUAGAAGAUUUUCUUCAUGCAAAAGAAAGUGAACAAUUACUAAAAGUAUGGAUAAAUACUACGCUUGGAGAAACCUGGGUAGACAAAGGAGAAGUACCAGAUUGGAAGCAAUUAUUUAACAGGAGAGAAUUUUUUCCCGUAGGCACAGUACCUAGGAGAGAAGAAUAAUAAUAUAAAACAAAUACUUUGCAAAUGCUUACUAAGGAUGAAAUUGAAUGGAUAAAUGGCUACCAUCAAUUUGUCUAUAAAAACUUAGAAAAUAGCGUCAAAGAUAAGGAGUGGUUAAAGAAAGUAUGUGACCCUUUAUAAGCAAAGGAGCAUUUUUUAUUAUUUAAAAAGUAUUAAUGCAAUUGUGACAGGUAGGUUAUAAUUAUGAUAGACAAAGGGCAAGGAGAUGAAUUUAUGAAGCAGUAUAUGGAUACUUGCAAAGAGCAAAUAGAAAAAUUAGCCAAGGAUCCUGAAUUGCUUAAUCAGGCUUUAAAACCAUUUAUGCAAAUGUCUCAGCAGCUUAUGGCUGGCGGUAUGUUAGAAGGGGCUAUGCCUGGCAUGAUACCUGAUUUGGGCAGUAUGGAUGUUAACAAGAUGAUUGCUCAGAUGAA
Long non-coding RNA from Drosophila ananassae, 655 nucleotides. RefSeq lists it as uncharacterized. The transcript is spliced from 2 exons. NCBI's taxonomy places the organism in Eukaryota, Metazoa, Arthropoda, Insecta, Diptera, Drosophilidae. The record is from RefSeq and is a predicted model, not a curated record.